RNAcentral lists this ribosomal RNA (247 nucleotides) under uncultured bacterium. Its description in RNAcentral is "partial 16S ribosomal RNA". It matches the Rfam family "Bacterial small subunit ribosomal RNA", at positions 1259 to 1504 of the family's 1533-position model. The record is from RNAcentral.
AAGGUGGAGCCAAUCCCAGAAACCCGAUCCCAGUCCGGAUUGCAGUCUGCAACUCGACUGCAUGAAGUCGGAAUCGCUAGUAAUCGCAGAUCAGCAUUGCUGCGGUGAAUACGUUCCCGGGCCUUGUACACACCGCCCGUCACACCAUGGGAGUUGGUUGCUCCAGAAGCAGGUAGUCUAACCGCAAGGGGGACGCUUGCCACGGAGUGGUCAAUGACUGGGGUGAAGUCGUAACAAGGUAACCGUA